UUCCUCACAAAAUACAUAUAUAUACAUAGAGAGAGAAAUUAUGAUUAAAUAUCAGUGUGGGAGGAGUAGGGGAAAAAGGCAGUGCAGAAGGGCAACAGUUAAAUGUCCUGGCCCGGCUGUCUUUGGUAGAAUGUAUUGUCUACUCCUACGGGACACAUAUGUUGGGACCCAGCAUUUCUAGAAAGAGAUGGAAAAGGCAAACAAAGCAAUCAAUCAAGAAUAAUGAAGAGCCAAUUUUACUGAAUGAUCUGGAUACACUUUAAAGUGGCACAUUUAGUAAAUGAUUUAUGUUUCUCUCUAAAGGUAACAGGAAGUCAAGUGGUAACCUGAGGAAUGUUCUAGAGAGAGUCAAACUCCCCAGAAGGAGGGAAUUACUUAGGGUCUAUUAAGAAUGCAUCAAAACAUUUUUUUUGAAGGGAUUAUUUACUUUUUAAAUUAUUUAUCUUUGGUGAUCAAAAUUCCUGCUCAGAUUUCUUCCACUAUGUAAAAGGAAAAAUGGGAUAAAAGUCAAGAAAAUAAAACUUCAGGUUAAUAUGGCAUCCCCACUAUUGUAAGAUGAUCAGAUUGUAGCUUGAAUGAAUCCUAAUAACUAAAGACAACUUUGGGUUAAUAAUAAUAGAUGUUAUUAAUAAUAACCCUAUUUAUUGGUUAAUAGUUAAUACUGAUGACUGAGUAAAUUAUUCAGUCUUACACCUAAUUUUCAAGCUUCAUUUAAGCCAGAACCCUGACACCUCCCCUGGUAGAGCUGGCAAAAUGAUCUAAAGACAAAGGCGACAUGGGAACGUCCUGCCUGAGUCACAGUGGGGAUUCUUGAGGUCCAAAAAGGAGCCGAGUGAACACAGCAGGAGAGCGGAUUUCCCAGUGCCCCCAAGAGAGAACAGAGGGCCUGCUUUUAAGAAAACAAAGCAGUUCUCUCCAUCCUAGUCCACGCUGACGUCAUCUCUCAAGGGUUGGUUACUCUGGUAUGAAGAACAAGGCUCUUCCCCCCCAAUUUGCCCCUCCUCCUGCAUUGCCUCCUCAUCGUGAGUCCACAACCUGCACACCUGCACAUGGCAGCCCUGAGUCACGCUUCACCCAUAUGCCUAAGCUAGAAACUUGGGGAUCAAUCGUGAUUUCCUCUACUUCUUCCCUCAUCCACUUCUCCCUCCCAACAGCUACUCCCUAGCCCCAAGCUGCUCCUGGGAGUAAGAGUGUUUGUCUCCUAGCAAAGAGCUUAAUAAACGUGUGGAAUAAAUAACCUGAUUUGAUAUAAUCUAUGAUUGACCUCUUUCCUCAAGGAGUGCUCUGCCAAGAAUGAGGAGAUGGAUACAAAAACUCCUUGUCCUUUAGGCUUUUCAGGUGCCACCUCCUCCAGGAAGCCUUCCACGUCCUCUCCCACCAAUCAGACUGGGGUAUGUGACCCUCCUCUGAUCUCCCAGAACACCCUGUGCUUACCUCUACCAAAGAACUGACAAUUCUGUCUUGCAACAGUUGUUUACUUGCCUGAGGCUCCUUCUAGUUGGGAACUUUUAUUCCUGGAGCCCCACUGCCUAGCAGGGUAUCCGGUGCAAAGCACAAAGACAAUGAAUGUGGUUGAAUGAAUGAAUGCCCCAAGGAAUUAGUGCCAUAAGAGACCACAAAGUGGCCCUAUGGGGAGACACACAAAGGAGCAGUGAGUUCUGUUAUUGAGGGAGUGACAGUGACAAACGUCUUUCUAAGUGGUCUUGAAAGAUGAGUUAGAGUUUCCUUAGAGAUCAAGGCAAGGAAGGGUAUUACUAGCAGAAGGAAUAGAGGCACAGAAGCACAUGGGCAAGAAAGCACAUGAAGUAUCUCAAACAACGGCAGCCUGGCAAGGCUCGAACACAGCAUUGAGUGGGAGGAAACGGGGCAGAUGUGUCUGGAAAGGGUGUGUCGGACCGGUUGUGAAAGACCUGGCAGGGGUUUGAAGACCGUGGAGCAGAAAGUCACUGAAGUUUGAAAGCAGAGUAAUAACAUGAUCAGAUCUUCAAAAGAAAAAAAAAAGAUCUUCUUUCCUUUUCGGUAACUAAAAGCCGUAGUUCCGCCUUCCUCCAUUUUUUACAUUUCUUGAUAGUUCAUGAGAAUAAAACAACAAAGGCCAGCGGAAGCCGUUCUUCUCUCCCUGCCUGGUCUGAACCGGGCGUGUUUUUUUUCUUCCCCUUGUUUCCUGGCCAGCCGUCGGGUGAAGCGAGUGCAUCAUACAGCUGGGAAAACACGAGCUUCUCCGGUUUGUUUGGCUCCGGAGCUAUGUGGGUGAGCGCGAGUCUGGGCAGUGUGUCAGCUUCUUCCUGAAAGUCCGGGUCAAGGAAGACCACGACACGACUUUGUUUACUUGAUUUUGCUUUCAGUGUCGAGAACGCUGGUUCCGAUGACUGCAAAGGUGUAUGCGGUCGCUGCUGGCUCACAGGCCUGUAAUUCCUUUGGAAAAAAAGAUCUGAUUGGGACAACUGGGACCUUAUUUUAAUACCUCAGUUCCUUUUGAAACACCAGAUGAAAAGUGAUGCGUUAUUUUCCCAGUGGCUUUUGUUCCUGGCUAACCAGACUGGUUUGUUGGAUCCUUGGGAGUCAUUCUGCGGGACUGGGUUUGCUGGGCUGGCAGAUUUGGAGGGGUCGACAAAGAGUGACCCGUCUGAAGCAACUCCUCUGGCUCAGACACUUGAAGUUACACUUAAUCAUCAAAUGUUUACCGAGGGCCUGCUGUGUGCCAGGCCCUGUACUAAGCACGGGGACACUGCGAGGAACGACACAGUUCCAGCAGAGCCCGGUAACUAGGCUAAAACUCAUCAAAAGCAAAAGCCAACUCUUGCUUCUCUUUCCAUCUCCCCAAGUGCCUAGUGCCGUGUCUAACUCCAGGCAGAGCCGCAACAAAAACCGAACGUCUGAACAAACAGCUAUACUCCAAUUUCACCCUACACGUGUUUACCAUGCACCUGCUAUGGCCCAUAUUGCCUCAGGUAGUAGAGAGACGGAGAAGAGAAAGGUCGGCUCACACCGCCACCUGCUCCCAGGCUGGUGGGGAAGACGGGAGCUAAAACAACUGUUCAGCCUGUACAAAUCUGAGCCUCAAGGAGCCCCAGAGCCCCUAAAGAUCUUCUUGCCCCAAGGUCCCUCCUCUGGCACCGCAGACCCCUCUACAAAAGGGGUGAUGGCUGGCACAGAAGAGAGAGUCCAGGAUGCUGCCCCAGCACUGGAUCCACUCUGAUCAGUUGAUGCUUUUGCCUCUUCUGUUGAAGAUAUUUUACCAUCAUUCCACAGAUAAUAAUAGAGGCACGAGCCGUUCAUACACGGGGAUGAGAGGAGGGAACGACUUCAGGACGUGAGAAGGGUGCCGGCUUCCAUCUGGAAAGGGAGCGUGUAACUUCCUGCAAAACCCAGUACAGCAGGUGACGUUUUGUUUCUAGGAGUCUAUUCAGAACCCCUGCCCCAUGAGCACAAGCAGGGGACCCCAGCUCAAGGAGCUGCCCACUCCAGAUGCAAGGGCACACCAUUACCUCCUGUCAACACUGUGGAGUCCAGAGGCAGAAAGUCAUUUUAGAAUGGAACUAUAAAACAUUUUAAUUUUUGAAGUUACUUUAAAUAUCGUUUUUAUUUCUUCCUGUUCUGGACCAACUAUUAUCCACAAGCCUAGUUUUGUAGCCAUCUUGGUUCAAGUAAUCUUGUUACCUGCUAAUCAUUAGCCUCACUCACGGGCAGUGGAGAGAGAGGGCCUCCCGAGAAGCAGUGUAAGAAUCUUGAGCACUAAUCCUCUGGGAGGGGGAUGAGGGGGCUUCCGUUGCCUUUCCAUCCCUUGCAAAGCUGACGCUGAGAGCCUAGAAAUAUGGAUCCUUCAACAUUCUGAGGAACUGAAAGAAGGAGAUAGAGAGGGAGAGAGGGAGAAAGGAAGGAAAGAAGAAAACAAGGAGACAGGGAGGGAGGAAAACAAUCAACCAAACAAAAAACACAGGAUGUUUCCUAAACCUCUCCUCAGAUUGUCAAGAUAUAGAUUCAAAAAGUCCUAAAGCUGGGAGGGCCAAUUUCCCACCUGUGAAAGCAGCAAACAUCGCCUGAGCCAGUUCUUCAAUGGGAACCACAAUUAUUCCAUGGAAACAUGUCAACAGUUCUCUGCUCAAGUCUACGAACAGAAACAGUGAAGCAAAUUACACUUGUCCGUACUCUCCAGAUAAUUGAAUUUGGCUUCUUAAAAUUCAGGUGUCAGCCUGUUGAGAAGAACAGGGUAGCUCCUUUAUUAACUUUUGUUUUCACCUCCUUUCACUCAAAGCAGGAUUUCGUAAUAUUAUUUUAAAAUAAAUUACUGGCAGAAGACUAGACUAGUGUCUAGUCACGUCUCCAGCCUCAUCUUUCCUCUCCUCUUGCUUUCCCCACAGACUACGGUGCUCCGUUCCUACACGGACACCACACCAUCGCGCCUCCAGGCAUGACCCAUGGCCCCUCUCCAGGGCCCCCCCCAACUUUUCCUGGAAGCGGGGUCUUCUCCAGGAUGAGCUUCCUCAGCUCCCUUCCUUCUGCUGCAUAAGGAGCCCUUCCUUUGUGCUCCUAUCGCACGCUCAGGGCAUCUCCAUCUGCACACUUAGCACCUUGCAUUGUAAGGACCAUGUCUAUGUGUGCGCCUGUCUUCCCCUCCCCCCGACACAGUGACUAGGCCUCACUCAUUUUUCACCUUCUUGAGGCCUCACCCACCUCCUGGAAAUAGUAGGUGCUUGCAUCAGCUAUCUAUUGCUGCAUAACAAAUGACCUGCUCAAAAUCUGGCAGCUUAAAGCAGCAGUUAUUAUCCCACAGUCUCUGUGGGUCAGGAAGUCAGGUGCAGGGGUGGCUCGGUUGGUGGCUGUGGCUCAGGUCUCUCACAAGGCAGUGACCCAGGGGUCGCCAGGCCACCACCAUCUCGAGGGCCAAGUGCAGGAGGGUUCGCUUCCCAGCUCACUCCUGAGGCUCUUGGCCUUAGAAAAUCGACUUCCAAGCUCGAUCACUUGGCUGUCAGAAGGCUCUAGGCCUUACCGGCUGUCAACUGAAGAUACUUCCUCAUCCUAUGAGGCUCUCCACAAUUACUCACAGCACGGCAGCUGGAUUCUGCCAGAGGAAGGGCCCAGAGAGAGCGAGAGAGACAGAGACAGAGACAGAGAGAGGGAGGGAGGGAGAGACGGAGCAUACGAGCAAGACGGGAGUCACGGCCAUCAUGUACCGUCAUCUCAGAUGUGACCUCCAUCACUUUCGCGGGGUUCCAUUUGUUAGAAGCAAGUCACCAGGUGCAGCCUCCUCUCAAGGGGAGGGGACACAUGAGGACGUGAACACCAGGACGGGCAUCACUGGGGCCAUUGCAGAGGCUGCUGCCAGCGCUCAGUAAACAGACUGAAUGAACAGAUGACUCUCUCUGGUCAGAGUGAAGCUCUCCUUCCAAGAAGAUCCACAGCUUUGGAACCCCUAUCGGGGGACAGAGCAUGGUGUGACUUUCAGUGAGCAUAUGUUCACACAGGCACCUGCAUAGAAGCAGUACCAAAUACACAACUGGCACCCAAUAGCUAAUUGUCGCCUGGGUGAAGAAAUGAAAGAACGGUUGACAGAGGCUAGCAUGUGUCCAUCACUAUUUGUUCUGCAAUAAAGGACCUGUGUCUUUUAGCUAGGCCCAUGGGCAUGCCACUGGAGACUGCAUUUCCCAACAUCCCUUACAGCCAGAGGUGGCCAUGCUCCCAAGUUUUGGCUACUGGGAUGUGAGGGUAACCCUGGUGAGCACUCGCCUUUCUCUCUUCCCCGACCUGGGAUACUGAGGUUUGGGUGGGACCGAAAGCAGGAACAUACACAGUGAAUGUGGGAGGACCACGCCAGCAGACUAUCCGUCUCUGGACUAGGACCUGAAGGAGAACUCAACUUCUGUCUUGUAAAAGCUCCUGCCCUGUAGGGUCUUGUUGUUGCAUCAGCGUAGAGUAUACCCAUCUGACACAGGAUGGAAAAGCAAGCAGGAAACACGACUCCACCACCCCUCCCAACCCCAGGGCGAGCCCCACGCUUGAAACACGCUGCAGGGGCCCCUUAAAUGUCUGUAGGGUGACACUGUGCCUGUGGACCUGUUGGGCUGUGUUGGUAGAGAAGAAAGCAGAGUUUAAGUCCCCACUUUCCUCCUGGUCAGGCAACUGCAGGCGUCUUGGGUUAACUCAGAAAACUCAGAGCUCUGAGGCUGCUCAGGGAAGCAGCCACCGCAGCACGGAGUGGCCUUAACUUUCCAAGGUCCAAGGCAGAAAGCCACCACAGAGAGCCAUAAGUCAGACGGAUUCUUCUCGAGGAAAACCUGUCCGGAUUGCGGUUUCCCCACAGGAGGUUGAUUUGUUUUCCCAAAAAGGAGAAGAGUUCUCAGCUCGGUCCCUGCGAAGGGCCACGCCAGCAGCCUCUCCAAACCCUUGCGGCCGUCAAGGGCAGGCGUCCCGUGGGGCGGCAGAGGUCACCGAGAGCCAGCAGCUGUCCACGCCUGGAGGAGCCACGCCUCUGCCUCAGUCUGGAACUGGACAGCAUCCAUGGCCUAAAACUGAAUGUUUUUAUUCCGUUUCUGUUCUUUUACAGUAUACGGCUAGAUGGCUCCAACCGACCCCACCCUCCAGUGCCAGAAUCAAACGCUCACCCAGCCAGAUGGUGUGUGCUGAGGCUAGCUCAAGGAGAUGACAAAACCUUGUUAAAACACAGGAAGGGGACCGGAAGGAAGUGGGAUAAGUCUGUCUUGCUUGGAUUGAAAAUCUGUUAAUAGGAUAGACACAUGCCAAGUAGACAGCAAUUUGAAGAUAUUUCUUUCUCACAGGAAGGCAAAUUUGAGAAACGAGGAGAGAAAGAAGGGGUGAGGGAGUCCAGGCUGAAGUCUACAGGCUCAUUUCUCUUGGAAGGCGGGGAAGUUUUAAAACUCCUACUAUUCCCUGGCCUUCAAGCAUUCAAGGUACUGAAGAAGAUAGCCGUGUCCUUUAGCAACGACGGUUCAAAUGGAAAUGUUCUCAGGCUGUUGGUAUAAGAGGAGGGAGAGAGCAAGUCUCACAGAAGGGAUGGCGUUCUGGAAGGGACUGGAGGAACUCCCCCUUGAAGGAUGAGGGAGAUUUUCCAGGUGGUCACAGGCAGAGAGGGAGGGCAUGGCAGGCAGGGAGUGGCACGAGCCACACUCCGGGGCUCUGAGAGCACACGUAGUUCUCGUGUGUGUUUCUGGAAUUCCCAGUGACCUAGGAAGGUGGAGUCACAGGGACGUGAGUCAGGUCUUUGACAGGAAAGAGUAGAGAUGACUUCCAUUAAUACUAUGGAGAAAAUAGUACACAAGAGAUGGAAGGAGAUGGGGAAGUGUUAACGGAGCAGAGAGAACAGAGGCAGAUCUGGCCCUGUGGAAGCCAGCUGUAACCGCAGCACGGGGUCAGCAACACGGCUGUGUAACUUGGUGGCUUAAGUCGCAGGCUCCUGAGUCAGCCCCCGCCUCAGUGUCCCACGGCUGCCGUAACAAAGUCCCACAAACUGAGAAGUCUGAGAUCCAAGUGUCGGCGGGGUUGGUUCCUCCUGAGGGCUGUGGGAGAGAAUCUGCUCCCUGCCUCUCCCCUAGCUUCUGGGCGUUUGCUGACCAUCUUCGGGGCUCCUCGGCCUGUAGGAGCAGCACCCCGCUCUCUGCCUUCAUCUUCGCACGGCAGUCUCCCUGUGUCCGUGUCUGUGUCCAAACUCCCCCCCUUUCAUAAGGACAUAGUCCUAGUGGGUUGGGCCCCUCCUAACGCCCUCAUUUUAACUUGAUUCCCUCUGUGGAGACUCCGUCUCCAAAUAAGGUCACAUCACUCCAAAUUAGGACGUCAACAUCUUUUUGGUGGGCACCGUUCCACCCAUUGCAGCCAUCUCGGUUUGAAUCCCAACGUGGCCACGCACCAGACUCCUUGGUCUUGCAAAAACUGCUUAACGUCUCUUAGCCCAGUAACGUGCCUAAAACAGAAUGAAGAGCACCCUUGGUACAAGCAUCAGUACCCAGGAGGGGCCUAAUAAGUGUCGGUGGUCACUCUUGGAUGCACAGAGGACCGCGUAUGGAAGUCAAGCCCUGGCGUCAUUCUAAUUCAGGGACGCAGGCAGAGGGCCCACUGACGGGCCAUCAAUCAUUUCACUCAUCUCCUUCCCGCACCCCUACCGCCGGUGCCUAGACUCUUAGAGCCUCAGGAAAGUUUUCUGCAGAUUACAACUCUGUAACUCAACUUAAUUUCAAUUUUGAGCCACAUAGCGCCAGGGUGACAGAAACAGAAACUGUCAGUUUGGGGUUUCCCUCUCUGUCUUCCUGGGAUUGUGGCUCAAUCUCAAUGAACCAUCCUGUGCCAGGACGCGGAGCAGAGGCACGGGGGCUGGGUCUUAUUUCUCAGUCUGCCAGGCUUCUGUGAGGACCCCACGUCCUGGUUGGUCCUGGGGCAACAGUCCUGUUCUCAUCUGAAGGCCACCUCGCCACCCCGAGGUCUGGAGGGGCUCUCUGCCAUCACCAUGCCAGGCACAGUUUCCUGCUGUUCCUCCGUGCCAGCCUGGAACACACUAGUCUCUGUGAGCCUCUCUGAGGCUUCAUCUCUGCAGUUACGCUCUCGGGGGCCUCCCUGUUUCCCCCAGGGCCCUACCCGACAACCACCCCUGCUCCUGGGCUCCCCAAAGUGUUCUGAGGACCUGUGGCCCCCGGAGCCCCUCCUUCGGAGACCACCCCACCUCUGCUCUCAUGAACUUCACCCUCGGCUGCCCCAGACCCCGCUGGGUUGGGGGAAUCCUAUCUCUCUCUCUCCUGUAUGUUCCCCAGACAUUUGAAGAUACCCCAACCCUUUCCGUUCCCUUAAAGCCUCGGGUUUUGGAAAGCAAAGCCAGGAAGAGACCUGUGGGCUCUCCGUGCCUUCCUCCCUGGGCCCCCCGCACUCCUGCCCCCCGGGGCAUGGAGAGUCUAUUGCCUUAAGUGGGAAUACCAGGAAAGGAAAAAAAAUAAAUAAGUUAAUAUUUAAAAGUUAUUAUCCCAGCUUGUUUCGGUGAAUAAAUAAAUGAAUGCGUGGCCCUGGCCCAGGGCGCUCGGGGGAGAUCCUGAGCCCACUUCACAAAAACCUCUCCCCCGAGGGAGGUUCCACUCGCACGGCCGUUCCCAGCAGGAGGGCCCAGAGCCCACCCCAUUCCCGCCCAGAAGGCCCGCUGGCGGCCGCCCCCCCGCCCUACGUGGCACCCCACGUUUCUGCCCCUGGGUGCCCAAGUGUGGCGGUGGUUCUAACAAGCACUUAGUCCUGCCACCUGGUAUUAUUUCAGUUAAUAUUUUACACGGCUGACCUCCUUACUCCCUGGAACCAGUUCUUACUCAACCUGUGCAGCAAAGAGAAAGCUCUGCCGCUUAUACCAGGUGACCUUGGACGACUUACCCAGCCUCGCUUCCCUCAUGGGAGAAACGGCAGAAAGAACACCCACCCAUCGGGCUGUGAGGGUUGAGUAACGUAACCUAAACAAAGGUUGGAGCCCUUGGCCUCAGUGCAGCCGCACUUGAAGAACUGCCCUUGUGGCUGGCUCGGUGGGCCCACCUGUGCCUCACUGUGCAGAGAGGGAGAGGCAGGCAUGCCACCAAUGUCACCACGCAGAAGGGACCCUGCACCCACCAGAAGGGCGAUCUCUAAAACCCCUUCGUGCCUUAAACCAUCACGAUCAAGAUUGGUGUUGACCUACUCAAUAACUAAGCUCUUAUGAAACAUCACUAGGAGCCUGGCAUUCUCAUACACCUGAAAAAGAGCUCCCCAGGGACACAGACGGGGACGGAAUAAUAAUGAAAUAGGCUAAAAUAACUGGGUUUAAACUGCUAUGGGAUCAUGGAGGGAAAUCAUUUGUGUGCUUGUGGUCAUUCAUUUAUUCAUACCACCUUCACAGUGCCCUGUGUUUCCAGAAAGGAUUGAAAGAGGCCUGGGAGAAAUAAGGACCUUUCCCCAAGAGGUCACUGUGAGCUUGGCACCGAAGGCGGUUAACAGGCAGAACAGUGAGGACAGAGAUUCUCCAGGCCCAGGAAGCAGCCCGUGCAGGGGCCUGGCCGUGUGGACAUGGCAGACCCACAAUGCUCUUCUCCCUGUCCAUCAGUGGUGCGCUCGAGCCAGCCAGGAGCAGCUCACGAGAGCUGAUGGCUAAAUUGUCGGGAAAUUUGCAAGCCAGUUAGUAGAUACAGUCAUUAAUAAAAAUUAAAUUAUGCAAACUUAUAAUUAAAUAAUUGUAAUAGAAACCAAGGUUAAAAAUAUCCAAACUCAUCACUUCUUAACUAUUUUACAUUUUCCUACUAUCUGUGCUGGAGGUCACUUACACCUGCUGUACCUGUAUGGUCGAGAUAUAUGCAUCAUAUUGUGCCACUGAGCACGUCUUCCCAAUUUCGUGUUUAACGAUGGCACGUUCAUAGCUUGCAAUCUGCCGUGGCAGGAAUAUUUACACCACCGAAACUGGCCGUUGCUACAAAUCAGGACAUUUUUUUCUCCCCGGAAAGCUAGUUAUUCACAUUUGCCAGCACACUGCUGCUAGCUGCCCUGUUUAAAGUCACCUUCCCACUUCCGGUCCCACUUACUCUGAUUACUUUCUCCACAGGAUGUAGUACGUUCUAAGAGGUUGCACCGUCUGUUCGGUAUCAUUAUUUUCUGUCUCACCACAUCAGAAUGUUGGCCCCAUCAGGGAAGGACUUUUUCCUGUGAUGUCCUUCAGGUAUUCCCACACCCAGGAGAGUGCCUGGCAGCCAGCUGGCACUCAUGAGUCUGUACUGGUGAACGCCGGCCUCUGCACGUCCCUCCCCAGCCCUGCGCUCGCCCAGCGGCGUCUCCCUGACCCGUAGGCUGACCUGGCUCGAGGCCACCCUCCCUCUCCCCGUCUGUGUCCCUGCAGGAGCCCCGCUGCCUACAGCCCGGGGGAGGUCUUGUGUAAAUGUGCACCUACGGCCCACGACUGGGCAUUUCUCUGGUCACAGGUCACAGGUCUCAGGUCUCUUAAUGACCCUGAGACCAGUGCCUUGAGACCUGGAAGGCAGCAGUUCCCAAGUGGCCCCAGACGGCAGCACCAGCAGCACCUUGUUAAAAUGCAAGCGCUCGGGCCCCACCCCAGACACCCUGAGUCAGAAACUCUGCGAGUGAGGCUGUCUUCGUCCAUCCAGGCUGCUGUAACAAAACAGUGCAGACCACGUGGCUCACCAACAGCAGAUGCAUACCGCUCACGGUCUCGGAGGCUGGAAGUCUGAGAUCAGGGCGCCAGCUCUGUGGUGAGAGGGCCCUCUUCCAGGUGGCAGACUUCUCAUUGCCUCCUUGAGUGGAGGAAGGGGUGAGGGAGCUCCCUGGGGGCCGUUUUAUGAGACCAGUAACCCCAUUUGUGAGGGUCUGACCUGGGUCUCAAAGGCCCCACCUCCUAGUACUGUCACCCGGGAGUUAGGUUUCAACGUGAGCGUUUGGGGGACCCAUUCAGAUCCCCGCAGAGGCCCAGAAAUCUGUGUUUCUGAGAUUCCUGUGUACAGUAAAGUUUGAGGGCCACGGGUCUGAGCCUUAGAAUUGUUCUAAGGUGGUGGCUCUCGAACGGGGCUGUUCGUCUGUGUCACUGCUCCCCCCCACCCCUAGGAGGCACUAGGCAGUGUCUGGGGACACUGUGGGUCACCACAGCUCCAAGGGGUUGGUGCUACUGGCAUCUCGUGGGUAGGGGCCAGGGAGGGUGCCCACAAUCCUACAACGCACAGGACAGUUCCCCCAUAACAAUGUCAGUGGUGCCGCCCGUGCCAUCCUCACUCCCACACACCCCUCCAGCCCUCCUUCCCUCCUUUCCUGUAACCCGUGCUCCGCACCCAGCAGCUGAUAACAACCGAUCCUCCACCCUAGGAGCCUGGGGCCCUGCCCCGCAUAGGAUUCUCUGCACAAGGAUACAGAUACUUCAGCCGACCUUUGCCACCCAGUGUGUUCUGUUACGUUUAGAGAAAUAUCCCGGAGGUGCUCCCAACCCAAGCUUGGAAGAUCAGGGAGGACUUCCUGGAGGAAGUGGCCUCUGUGCUCAGACUUGAAGGUGGAGCUACAACGAAUCAGGCGGCAGGUGGACAGGGGAUGGCUUUCCUUAUGCAGCACUUCCUGCCUUUCAGUCACUGUGCUGUGUUUUACUGUCACUGUCUCAUUCAACCCUAGACCCUCCGAAGCUGAUACUACUGUUAUCUCCAUUUUACAGAUGGGGACACUGAAGCCCAGAGACACUAAAUAACUUGCCUAAAGCCACACAGCUAGCAAAUGCUGACGCCGGGAUUUGCAUCCAGGUCUGCAGAUUGCAAAGCCUGACAGGAGGUGACUGCUAACUGUUUACAGAGGGCAAAGCGGGUAGACUGGGGACUUCUUCUAAAACACAGUUGACCCUUGUGCUAUGGGCUGAAUUGUGCCCCCCGCCCCAUUGGUAUGUUGAAGUCCCAACCUUCAGGACCUCAGAAUGUGACUAUAUUUGGAGGUGAGGUCUUUAAAGAGGUGAUGAAGUUAACUGUGGCCAUUAGGAUGAGCCCUAAUCCAAAAUGAUGGAUGUCCUCAUAAGAAGAGGGAAUGUGGGCACAGAAAGAGGCACCAGGGAUGCAUGUGUACAGGAAAGGCCACACAAGGACACAGCAAGCCAAGGAGAGAGGCCUCAGGAGAAACCAACCCUGCCAACACCGUGACCGUGGACUUCCAGCCUCCCGGACGGUGAGAAAGUGUAUGUCUGUGGUUAGGGCUCUCGGUCUGCGGGAUUUUGUUACGGCGGCCCCAGGAAACUAAUCCACCUCGCCUCUUCUUUUGGGACAACGCUUUGAUGGUGGGAAAACUUCAGCCAUAUUAAUUGUGUUUUGUUUUCUCUGCUGUAGAAUAAAAGAGAAUGAGCCACCUGGUGUCUGACACACACACACCCCCUCCCUCGGGGGCACCUGCUGGACCAAAGCCACUGGGAGACGACUGCUCUUCUUAGCUCUUGUGAGAGUCAAGAUUCUCUGCGGAGAUUGUGCGAAGUAUUGAUCUGCACGGAUUGGGGGAAAAACAAGCGCUCCUGGGCCACAGGUGAUUUGAGAAGCAGUGAAACAGUGAUAGCAGACCUCGGACUGCACCUGGGUAUCUGACUCCAUUCGGAUCUGCAUCUGGAUGUCACCUCCUCAGAGAAGAGGCUGUCUCCAGCCCUCUGUUUAAGGCCCAGUGUCCCUUCACUCUCUUCUGUGCUGUCCAGCAUGGUAGCCACUGCCCACCGUGCCUCCUGAGCACCCGAAACGUGGUUAGUGCCCGAGGUGUGAAACACACACUGGAUUAAAAGACUGAGUUUGAAAAAAAGAAUGGGAAAUAUCUCAUUUAUAAUGUUUACAUUUACUGUAUGCUGAAAUAAUAUUUUGGAUAUACUAUAUUAGGUUAAAUAAAAUAUAUCAUCAACGUGAAUUUCAUCUGUCUCUUCACUCUUUUACAUGUGGCUCCUAGGAAAUCCGGUGUGGCUUUCAUUACAUCUCUAUUGGACAGGGCUGUCCCCGCCCCGACAUGGCCUGAUUUCCUUCACAGGCACCAUCUCUGCCAGACAUUGCCUGAUGUAUUUAUGUUCCGUUUGUUGAGCAUCAGCGUCUCCCACUGGAAGGUGAGCUCCUGUUCACCACUCACCUCCAGUGCCCGGAACAGUGCCUGGCACAAACUGCAUACUGCAGAGCUGUGGUGCGAUGAGUGAACACAGGAGUGAACGACACCUGACAGACGACAGCGUCCCUCAGGCCCCUUUCAAAUUCAGCGCUGUAUCAUUUUGCAUGUUUGACAAUUUGCUUUCAAAUACGUUUUUGUAAAAAGUGGGAGGCGUGUGUGCAUAUUAAUCAAUGCCGUCUAGGUAGUUAGAUAAUAUUCAAAGUGCCCUACUUAGAAACCCACACUCUAAAGGAGACUGACUAAGCUUUUCGAAUAUAGCAAUGUACACUAGGAGUUUGCUGAUUCGCGUUAGGAAUGAAUCCCUGCUGGAGAAAGAGCAGUGUUCCAGGCAGCUCAGCUCGGGAGACUGUACAGCUCAACAUGCGUGCAGAGCGAGCGAGCAGAACCAGCACAUUUGGCAGCAUCGUACCCUGGCGGCCCUCGGGGACUGCGUGUCCUUUUACACUUGGCUGUCUACACAGUGGGUAGAUCCAGGGACGUCUACCUGGGAGGGAAUCUUUCAUGCAGGUGCUUAUGGGAUUCCUGCCUCCUACCCCUUACAUUUAGGAGACUUCAUUAUGGGUUUUGUUCCUAAAUUGCUAAUAAAUACAAAUCUGGCAGAAUUUGGCC
This is a non-coding RNA of Equus caballus (horse), 14217 nucleotides long. NCBI's taxonomy places the organism in Eukaryota, Metazoa, Chordata, Mammalia, Perissodactyla, Equidae. The record is from RefSeq and is a predicted model, not a curated record.